GACGAACGCUGGCGGCGUGCCUAAUACAUGCAAGUAGAACGCACAGUUUAUACUGGAGCUUGCUACCCGAUAAACUGGGAGUUGCGAAGGGGAGAGUAACGCGUAGGUAACCUGGCUGGCAGCGGGGGAUGAGUAUUGGAAACGAUUGCUAAUACCGCAUAAUAUUGAUUAUUGCUUGAUAAUUGAUUGAAAGAUGCUAUUGCAUCAGUACUAGAUGGACCUGCGUUGUAUUAGCUAGUAGGUGAGGUAUCGGCUCACCUAGGGGACGAUACAUAACCGACUUGGAAGGGUGAUCGGCCCACCUGGGACUUAGACACGGCCCAAACUCCUACGGGAGGCAGCAGUAGGGAAUCAUUGGAAAUGGACGGAAGUCUGACCGAGCCACGCCGAGUGGGUUAAGAAGGGUUUCGGAUCGGAAAACUAUGUUGUGUGGGAAGAACGGGUGUUAGGGUGGAAAGUUCACGCUUUGACGGUAUCUUACCAGAAAGGGACGGCUAACUACGUG
Molecule: ribosomal RNA, 505 nt
Filed under: uncultured bacterium
Lineage: Bacteria
Description: partial 16S ribosomal RNA
Rfam family: Bacterial small subunit ribosomal RNA
Source: RNAcentral